This is a long non-coding RNA of Malania oleifera, 1487 nucleotides long. RefSeq lists it as uncharacterized. The transcript has 3 exons. NCBI's taxonomy places the organism in Eukaryota, Viridiplantae, Streptophyta, Magnoliopsida, Santalales, Ximeniaceae. The record is from RefSeq and is a predicted model, not a curated record.
UUGAAUGGUCAAUGGUCUAUGAUUUUCUUGUGCUGUCUAUUUUAUCCCUAUUUUAUUAUUAUUGGAUGAGCAUUUAUGGGUAUUUUGGUACAAUUGAGAUAGGAGGCGGAGGGGGGUUUCUGCGCAUCCUGUCGUUUUCCCUCAUUCCCUCGUCCCGGGUGUCCACCUACCGUCAACGACGUUCGUUUUACGGUCCGUCGCACCGGUCAGUGACUAAUCCCACGCCCUGUAGUGCGGCCCCACACACCACAGAGAUAUAAAUUUCAGGCGCUCAGCAGCAGACUCGAACCCGGGGUGCCAGGAUUAAGCUCACCUCGUGAAAGGAAACGCCCGAAGUCCGCUCUGCCAACUGAGCUCAGCCCUGGGGCCCUCCAUCUUUUUUCUCCAUUCUCUUUUUGCCGAUGCUCGCCUCCGUGAUACUGUUCAGCGCCAUCAAGAGCAUAAACAAUCUUUGAACCAGCUCACUUGAAUGGACUCAUACACGGAUCGAGCCGCGUGGGUACAGCGAAAUCUCCUAGGUGUUCUUAGAUUUCGGAUUCGCAGGUUCACAGAUUUCUCAAAUGUGUUUCGACAACUGGAAUGUUUUUGAAGAAUUUGCUUUUAAUAUCUGGGAUAUUUCAAUUAACCCUAGGUUUUUCUUUGGCUAUGCGUUAAUGGGGCGGUUACUGAUGGUGAUGGCAUUUUUGAGUUUUGCUUUGUCUGUGCAUAGAUGGGGUGAGUGGCGGUUGUAAUAGCAGGAGUUUUUGAGUUGGUCGGUGGAGAGGGAGUGGUUGAGGCCUGAGGGAGGUUUGCUGAGGGGUUGUCCUGAAUCGGGGUGCAGGGGCCUGAGGGAUUUGAUUCAAGUCUUGAAGGAUUUAGCUAGCUUCCAACUGUACACCUUUUCCUGAAGAACAAAUCUAUGAUGCACAAUCCUUUGAAGGGUGUGUAUCAUACACACUCUUGCAGCUGCUGGAUUUUUAAGCCAUAGAGACAGAGAGGUUGCACCCAUGGAGUCUUCAUUCUAUACCGGAGUAAAUGUCAAGAAUUGCAAUGUAAUAACAACUCUCCGUAGUGGUAAGGUGAUUGGUACACCAGAUAGAGAAGUUGUUCAGAAUGGUGAGAGUUCCCCUUUCAAAGAACAAGGUAACAAAACAGACUCGUUGUGGCAACUCAAAUUUGGAAACCCAUCAUUUCAAUCUAUAAACCUACACCCAUCAGAUGAAAUUCUUCUUAAGCCUCCAAACAUAUCAUGAUGUUUUACUUUCCUUUAUUUCAUUUUGCUUUAUUUUGUUUUAUUUUUAGUUUGUUUGCAGGUACAUUUUCUUUUAGUUUCAAUUUUUUGUCCUUCACUUCUCUCCCCAAGUACUCUUCUACUUCUCUCAGCAUCAUUCUUUUGCUUUUCUUUUCAAUCAUGAAGGACAAUGCUACAUUUUAGUUGGAGGGAGAGAAUGUGUAUGUUGCAAUUGUGUGUUGCCAAGCUUUAAUGUGAUGUUUGCAUGCCUUAGACA